UUGGUCUCCCAUGGGGUGCAGGGCCCAAGUACUUGGGCCAUCCUCUACUGCACUCCCUGGUCACAGCAGAGAGCUGGCCUGGAAGAGGGGCAACCGGGACAGAAUCUGGUGCCCCGACCAGGACUAGAACCCGGUGUGCUGGCGCCGCAAGGCGGAGGUUUAGCCUAGUGAGCCGCGGCGCCGGCUGCAAUAUAUUUUUGAAAAAUAACUUUAUUUCAGACAUUGGAUUGGGCUGUACAAAUAACCUUAUACAGAAAAUUACUUGAUUCCUACCUUUACAGAACCUUAAUAAAAUAAUAAUGCAUGUUCUGAAACACAGCAUAUUGCCAAUGGAACUUGAAACUUAAUAAGUACAAAUAAAAACAUGUUAUGUCCUUUAAAAUACUGUCUAAAGGAGACAUAUACAUGUACACACAUAAAAAUGAAUCAAAUUGAGGCCAGCACGGUGGCAUAGAGGGUAAAGCUGCCACCUGCAACACAGGCAUCCAAUAUGGGUGCUGAUUGGAGUUCUGGGUGCUCCACUUCAGAUAUAGCUCUCUGCUAAUGCACUUGGAAAGCAGCAGAGGAUGGCUCAAGUCCAUGGGCCUCUGCACCCACGUGGGAGACCUGAAGGAAACUUCUGGCUCCUGGUUUCAGCCUGGUAAUUGUAGCCAUGUGGGGAGUGAACUGGUGGGUGAAAGUUCUCUUUUUCUGCCUGCUUCUUCCUCUCUGUAACUCUGCCUUUCAAACAAAUGAAUAAAUAAUUAUUUUUGCAAAAUGAAUCAAGAUAUUAAAUAUUCUAAGAGUAAUAUUUCUAAUGUGGAAGAAGUGAUUUGAUUGUCUUCAAUAUAGGUGUUGGGAAUAUGGUAUAUUUAUAUAUAUGAAUAGGAAUUUAAUGGUGUCUUUAACACAGAAUAUAUUGAUAUUUUAUAUAGAAGAAAGUUAUUAGCCUUGCAAAAGAGCUACUUGUUUGUGCUAUUAACAGGAAGACAUACCAAAGUAUCAAGAUUAGUAAAGAAACAAGUUUUCCUUUAAUUAGAUAAUUUCAUUAAAUAAUUGGCAUUGUUUUAUAAGUAUAUGUAAUGUAUUAAAUAUUUUUUUGAAAAAGAUUUAUUUAUUUAUUUGAGGGUUAAAGUUACAGAGAGAGGGAGAGACAGAGAGAAAGAUCUCUCCACUGGUUCAUACCUCAAAUGGCUGCAACAGUCAGAGCUGGGCCAAUCCGAAGCUAGGAGCCAGAAGCUUCUUCCAGGUCUCCCUUGCAGAUGCAGUGCCCCAAGGACUGGGGCCAUCUUCCACUGCCUUCCCAGGUCAUAGCAGAGAGCUGGAUCGGAAGAGGAGCAGCUGGGACAUGAACAGGUGUCCAUAUGGGAUGCCAGUGCUGCAGGCUGAGGCUUAGCCUACUGUGACACAGCGUAAGACCCAAAUAUUCUUAAAGCAAUAACUAGAUGUUCUACUCUUAUUUCUUUAAAAUUUAGAUGUAAGUAUUAUUCUCACUCAUUGUAUAAAUGAAUUAAGUGAGUUCUCUACAUUAUGCCGCUAUUUAUUAGAAUUAAAAAGGGUCCUAUUUGAUCACCUACACUUGUCAGUUUGUAUUACAUAUGCAAGCUAUCUCAUAUUUGUUCAAAAAGGAUAUUAUAUAUAUAUGUAUAUAUUUAAUUGCACCACACUAGGAUAUGAAGAGUGAUUAUGGACAUCAUUUAAUAUUUCAAAAAAUGGAGUAAAGAGAUUUCAGUCAUAAAUUGUAUGACAGGGAAAAAUCAGGAGAAUGUGGAGUUGAGAAUAAAUCAUCCAUAGAUUACCAUAUUAAAGUUCCAAAUCAUGGGGCUCUUUGACAGGACAAGUGAGGAAACAUGAGAAAGUACAUGGCAAAUAUAGCCAGGAAAGUCAUUAACAUUCAAAAGUUAUUUUUCAAAAGUGGAAUCUGAGGAAAUGGGGAGACAAAAAAUAACUAAAUGAUAGAAGUACAGCAGCCAUCCUAAAAAUGGCAUUCGGAUCAAAAGAUCAAAGAUUAGUCAGCAAAAUUACCCAAAAUAUACAGCUGCAUACUUUAGUGGAUGCAUAUUCAUUCCAACAUUUUAGCAUAUCUUCUUUCAUUAAAUCACCCCCCCAUUCCACGUAGAACUAUGAAGACAGGAAUCACGACAUACGAUAGGUUCUGACAAAACAGACUUCUUUUCUCUGAUUUUAAUUGUGGGUUCAAUGUUAUUUCAAAAAUAUCAACAUUAGUCAUUACAGACCAAACAGGUAAGUGGUCUUCUUAGGAUUUGAUCCACAGAAAUUGAAUUUAAAAAGUUCCAAUUUUAUAUUUUUCUAAAAAAUUAUUCUCAAAGGAGACAUAUAGAGAUCUUUCGUCUUCUUGGUUCACUGCCCAAAUGUCCACUAACAAUGCUGGGCCAGUCUGAACCUAUGAGCUGGAAACUCAGUCCAGGUCUCCCAUUUUGGUGGCUGGGAUCCAACUUCUUGAGCCAUUGCCUGCUGCCUCCUUGAGAGUAAACAAGGAUGUGGAACUGAAAAUAGAUACGGGAUGUGGGCAUCUUAAUCAUACUAAAUACUCACCUUGCUCUGUCUUAUUUUUAUAUGCAAAGCAGUUGAGGAAGUUUGACUGUAGAGUCAUGGCAUUCUCUUAAAAUGCCAUGUGUGAAAAAGCUAGUUUUCAGAGGAAAAUUGAGUGGAGCUAAGCAGAAACACAGAGUCACUAUUUUUCAUAACCCAGCGCCCAGCUCUAAGGUGUUGGUUCCUGCAAUUCUCUCCUCUAUUAUGUGAACUACCUUGGCAUUCUUCAAACAAAGGAAUCUUGAUGAAAUCAACCACUCAGGCACACCUAAAAAAUGAUGGGUUUCAGGACAAUGGAAAAAAAUUAUAAACAUGCAUGCAUUUUGAGAAAUUGAGUAGGAGAAAUACAAAGGAAUAAAUACAGGUUCUUCUGAUUCUUCCCUUGAACUACACUCAGAAACUACAGGGCAUCAAAGACACUACAAGUUUAAGUAGACCUAAAAUGGGAAACAAAAAACCUGAAUGCAUCACUUCUGUGAUAUUUAAGACAUUCUACCUGUCCUUUUCUAUCAGCACUAUAAUUUCCCCAUUCAGAUAUUGUUACCUCUUGUCACCUGCUCUAUAGUUAUCUUCCUGAGCAUCAUUGAACUGAUAGAGAUAUUAUUUUCUCUUGUACCUAGCUGGUGAGAAGACUGAUUAAGUCAAGAGAGAAAAGGACAUAAAAAUCUUACGUUCAUGCUUGACUCAAAAUAAAAUCUAAAUCUAAAGGGGAUAUAAAUACAAUUCAAAUACUUUAAAUAUAUAACUACUUCAUAAUCCAUAUUAGCUUCUUGUUAAGCCAACUUUGAUGACAUCACAUAUCUCUUUAAAUCACCAUUGUGGUUCAAGCCAUUUGCCAUUUUUGUGAAAUAUGUUUUUGUUUUGUUUUUCCUCUCAUCAGACUCAUGCCCUCCAAAAAAUAAUCAGAGCAAUAAGAGCACUACAUGGCACAAACAAGUAUAUAGCUGGAGGUUCAACAUAAAUAAUCACAUGUAGCCCAACCCAUGUUAAAAUACUAACUAUUGCCAAUGUACCAACUAGCAAAAUUAUGGUCAGUAUCAAGAAAGGAAUUUAUUACCAUUGGGGUUGAUAUCAGAAUACUAAGUGAAGUCUUGGUGCUAACUAGGUUUUCCCUUCAUAAAAGAGCAGACUAAUAACUCUAAGCUCAUCAAGUGCUAUCGUCUUUCUCAGGAGAUGGGAAGGCUGAAAGGUAAAGUGACCUGCCUCAGUUUGUCAGCCAUUCUAUGACUGCAGAUCGGGGUGACACUACACAUUCAUCUAGAGUACCUCUGGGUGUCCAAACUUUUCAUACAAAUCUACUUAAUUGCACAUCAUACUCUGUGGUGCGUACCCUUUCAUACAUCCAUAAACCUAUUACAAAGUAAACAUCUUGAGCUCAGGGAUUAUGUCUUAGGUUUACCUUGCUUAAACCAAGCUUAGAACAUAAAAAAUUGUUCAGCUAGUGCAUCUAGAAAAGGUACAAGUGAAAAAUCAGAGUUAAACUAAACUAUAGAACAAACAGAUCUAAAAGGCAACACAGAACAACAGCUGCCCGGUGUGUUUUCAUCAGCACAUGACACCUUUUUGUAGGAUAGAAAAUCAAGUCACAAAACAAGCCUUAACAAACUUUACAAAAUGAAGCUCACAUUAUGUGUUUAUUCUAAUAACAAUGGAAUAAAUUUAGAAAUCAACAAAAUCAACAAUAAAAGUAAAAAAAGGGAACACUACAAGUGCAUAGAAGCUUAACAAAAUACACCUGAAUGAGCAGUCAUUCACUGACAAAUUCAGAAGGGAAAUUUAAAAAUUCCUUGAAACUAGUACAAAUUGAAACCCAACAUACCAAAACUAAUGAGAUAUCAAAAUCAGUAGUAAGAAGUAUGUUCACAGAAAUAAGUAUCUACAUUUAAAAAAAAUCAAAUAAAUAAUUCAACAACACAUAUCAGGAGCCAGCACUGUGGCUUAGCUGAUAAAGCCACCACGUACAGUGCCAGCAUCCCAUAUGGGCGCCGGUUCGAGUCCUGGCUGCUCCACUUCCAAUCCAGCUCUCUGCUGUGGCCUGGGAAAGCAGUAGAAGAUGGCCCAAGUUCUUGGGUCCCUGCACCCACGUGGGAGACCCAGAGAAAGCUUCUGGCUCCUGGCUUGAGAUCUGUACAGCUUCAUUGCAACCAUCUGGGGAGUGAACCAGUGGAUGGAGGAUCUCUCUGUCUCUGUCUCUCUCUCUCUUUCUCUUUGCCUCUUCCUUUCUGUAACUCUGUCUUUCAAAUAAAUAAAUAAAUCUAAAAAAAUACAUAUCAAAAACUUAAAAAACAGGAAGAAAGGAAACACAGUAGAAGGGAUGAAAACAUGAGAUUACACAGAGAUUAAUGAAAUAAAAAUUUUUUAAAAUGCAAAGAGAACAGAAAUGAAGUUGUUUUUGAAAAGAUAAAGCAAAUUAACAAAUCUUUAAAAAAGAGAUAAGAUUCAUAAAAAUAAGAGAAAAAAUGUGGUAUUGCAGUGGAUAACCCAGAAAUAAAAGGAUCAUUAGAGACUAUUAUAAACAACUAUCUGCAAACAAAUUGGAAAAUUAAAAGAAAUGGAUAAAUUUCUGGAUACAAAUAAAUUACCAAACUUAAUUGUGAAGACAUAGAAAACCUGAAACAGGCCUAUAAUGAAUGUAAUGAUAUUGAACAUAGCGAGUAAAGAUGAUGUAUCAUAUGAUCCUGCUAUCCUGCUUCUGGCUAUAUGUCUGAAGAACAUGAAAUCAGCGUAUGAAAGAGAUCCUUGCACUCUGAUGGCACAUUGUAAACCUGUUCACAAUAGCCAAAAUACGAACUCAACAUAGAUGUUCAUCUAUGGGUGAAGAAAAUGUGGUGUAUAAACACAAUGUAAUACCUGAGACCCUGACAUUUGCCUCAAAAUGGAUGAGACUGGAGAUCUCCAGUUAAGUGAAGUCAGCUAGAUACUGAAGGAUCAAUAUCAUAUGUUCCCUGUUACAUGUGGAAGUUGCAGAAAAUUAUAUCAUUCUAAACUUAGAAUAGUGACUAUGAGAGUUGGGAAGGCUGGGUGUAGGUGAUAGGAAGAGACUGUAUAUUGGGUUCCAGAACAUGCAAGUAUUUUAUGUUUAUCAAAAUUUUAAUAAUAAAAUAACUAGCAUUUAAUCAAUAAUUUAUAAUCAUUAAAUAAUUUAAUUACUCAAAAGCAAUAAAUCAAUUUGGACAAUAUUACAAUCUGUUCAGAGUUGAUUAAAGAAAAGUAGUGGCAUACGGCAACUCCUAUCUUCAGCUGAUCUGCUUUGGUUUUCAAGGACUCUAGAGGUAUUGGAAUUUAGAACCAAAUCACCACGUUACUAAAAAAUUCAGUUCAAAUUCUGUCAAAAUGGAGCUGAGCCACUUUCAGUUAAAAUAGUGAAGAACUAUUUAGAUCUCGGGCAAAUGUUCAAGCUUCAAAGCCAUCCUGGAAAUAGGUGAUAUGCAGCCUUUGAUUAUUUUUCCCUUAAUUAUGGAUACUAGUAGUACUUGCUGAGGCUUGAAUACUUGUCCCCUCUGAAAUCACAUUGAAAUUUAGUGAAAUUUUAAACAAUAUUUGUUCAGACCUUUCAAAAGUAAUUAUGCCAAGAGAGAUUUACUCUCAUGAAUGGAAAAGGUGUCACUAUAAAAGGGAAAUUUCAGUCCUCUCCUUUCUCUCUUGGCCCUUUGACUCUGUGAUGACAGCCAUUAUGUAAUGACUCAGCAAGUAAGCCCACAGAUGCAGGCCCCUGAGUCAUGGAUCUCCAGCCUCUGGAACUGAAAGUAUGAUAUCUUCCUAGAAUGGAUUGUGUUGCCCUUUCACCAAGCCUCCUUCUUUCUGCUGUGGAGAAGAGAUAUAUCCUGAGAUGCUGAGAUGCAGCGAACACCUACAGCAGCAUCAUGGAGCCACUAGUGCAGCUGAAGGUGUAGGCAGCAGAAGGCUCUCGGCUGACUGUUCUUGGAGGAAUUUCUCCAAAAGAGCUGCCUCACCUGUGAUGAUGCCUGCUCCCCUGUAGCCUGUGCCCUCUGAUUGGUCAAUGGGAAGGACCAGCUGCUGUACUUCAAGGUAGCACAACCCUGACAGGCCAACCUAUCACAAGAGUUCCCCAAGUAACUGUCUGAGUCUUGCAUUACAACUAAAUCACUAUUCAAUUCCUCCCCCUAAGCAACCCUACUUCACUCAAAUAUCUGAUCUUAAGGAUGUUCCCAAUAUAUGAACCCUCUAUUCUCUACUUUUAUCUUAGGAACCUGACUUAAGACUCCAAAUUAUUAACUAUUCCCUUGAGAUCUUCUACUUUCCUGUGGAAUAAAGACUGUGAAACACUAA
Molecule: non-coding RNA, 6822 nt
Organism: Oryctolagus cuniculus (rabbit)
Lineage: Eukaryota; Metazoa; Chordata; Mammalia; Lagomorpha; Leporidae
Source: RefSeq, a predicted model, not a curated record